CUUUAAUGCCUGUGUGACUGUAGACUUGCACGAGCUGUUCAGUCCUGGGGGCGGGUCAGCAUUCCGUCGCUAAGCAACGGCCAAAACCGUCAAUCACUGCCAGGUGCCUGCGUCUGACCAGCAGCUACAUGAGAAGUGGCACAACCAUUUUGGACCUCUUCUCGAAUGACAAGACCGCCGACGGGGGGAAGAGAUUGCUGCAUGUUGCUAUGGUGCUAAUAACAAGUUGGAGGAGAUGCAUUCAAGCAGUCAAGAUGAAGAUGGCUCCUGAUGUAAUCUGCACGCUCAUUUUACUCUGAAAAUCAGCACAGAUGUUAACAUGGUUGAGAACAUGAGCCAUUUGCUUUGCUAAAGACCAGAAAACCUUCGCCGCCUCUCAUCAUGGGAUGGAAUCAUUACGACUAUCAUCUCAGUAUGGAAAAGUGGGAGAAAGGUCAACCAGCUCACAGUCCACUUCAUGCAUAAUUAUAGUUAUGUGUCUCUCUAGUUGUUUGUCACAGUUUGGCCACCUUUCUCAGUAAAGAAACUAAAUUAAUAAAGAAUUAUUUUUUUUCUUGUAUCACUUGCUGCCAGCUGCCUCUGAUCCAGGAGCUGUAACAUCACAAAAGCGUGCAUCAAUCGUGGCUUCCCAAGCAACCCAAAACUAUUUCCUGGGAAACAAUGCUGUGCAAACCUGGCACUAUACCUGCCACCUCAACCAUUUUCCUGCCAAAGCUUGUUGCACUGCUGAGCUAGCCUUCCCUAAUAUUUCCAACCUCUGCUUGUUGUGCAGUCUGCCACAGCAAAGAAGGUGCAGGUGUUUUACUGCAUCUGUUUAUGCGGCUGAAUCUGUUAAUUUAUAUGAGCAGAGUUUAGGACAAGUUGAAAUAGUGUAUGUAUAAUGGUCUGUACACUUAUUGUACACGUUUCACUUCGUUGUUUGGCCUUCAAAAUAGGCACAUUUGUAAUACGAAGCAGCCCAUCAAUGACUGGCAGUGUCAACAGAGUUUUGUUGAUGAUGCUUUAUUGAUUCCCAAACUGAAUCACAAGUCAGCACUCCAUCACGACGACCCAGUCAGUCCAACAAACAGCGAGGAGCAAGCAAAUGUGUUUUUCUCGAGAGUCUAAAAAAUCAGUUAUGUUCUUUAAAUGGUGUACAGUUUCUAAUUCUGAACCACAGGGCUUCACUGUAGAUAAAUAUUGUUGCAUUGGAUGUUGAGAGAUCUUUCUCUCCUAAUCAAACUUGUUGUUCCUAAUUACAAGAGAGAUAAUAUAAGGUUUUUGAUUAAUUAUAGAAAGUCUGGUCUAAUUGUAUUAGUGGGCAUUGUGGAAGUCAGUAGAAGUCUGGUGAUGGAGCAGUACCAUCAUGUAAGAGAUAACCCAAACGCUCCUUUUACAAGGAAGUGUGUCCUGCACAGUGACAAUAAAGAAUUACAAAUUUA
Long non-coding RNA from Acanthopagrus latus (yellowfin seabream), 1421 nucleotides. RefSeq lists it as uncharacterized. The transcript is spliced from 2 exons. The record is from RefSeq and is a predicted model, not a curated record. NCBI's taxonomy places the organism in Eukaryota, Metazoa, Chordata, Actinopteri, Spariformes, Sparidae.